Molecule: ribosomal RNA, 437 nt
Filed under: uncultured bacterium
Lineage: Bacteria
Description: partial 16S ribosomal RNA
Rfam family: Bacterial small subunit ribosomal RNA
Source: RNAcentral
AGCGAACGCUGGCGGCAGGCUUAACACAUGCAAGUCGAGCGGGCAUCCUUGUGGUGUCAGCGGCAGACGGGUGAGUAACGCGUGGGAACGUGCCCUUCGGUUCGGAAUAACUCAGGGAAACUUGAGCUAAUACCGGAUACGUGCGAGAGCAGAAAGGUUUAUCUGCCGAAGGAUCGGCCCGCGUCUGAUUAGCUAGUUGGUGAGGUUACGGCUCACCAAGGCGACGAUCAGUAGCUGGUCUGAGAAGAUGAUCAGCCACACUGGGACUGAGACACGGCCCAGACUCCUACGGGAGGCAGCAGUGGGGAAUAUUGGACAAUGGGGGCAACCCUGAUCCAGCCAUGCCGCGUGAGUGAUGACGGCCUUAGGGUUGUAAAGCUCUUUUCUCCGGGACGAUAAUGACGGUACCGGAGGAAUAAGCCCCGGCUAACUUCGUG